GAAAUGUGAUAAGUAAUGUGAAUUGCAGAAUUCAGUGAAUCAUCGAAUCUUUGAACGCACCUUGCGCUCUCUGGUAUUCCGGAGAGCAUGCCUGUUUGAGUGUCAUGAACUUUUCAACCCACCAGUUUCUUGUCAGACUGUGAUGGUGCUUGGUUUCUGAGUGUUUGCUAGGGUAUGGUCUUUGGACCGCUAGCUCACUCGUAAUGCAUUAGCAUCUCGAAUUCAGAAUUUCGGAUUGACUCAGCGUAAUAGACUAUUCGUUGAGGACACCCUUGUAAUUGGGUGGCCGAAGUUGUGAUAAAUGUUGAUGGCUUCUAAUUUUACUAGUCAUGUCUUUUUCAAAAAUUUAGACCUCAAAUCAGGUAGGAUUACCCGCUGAACUUAA
This 385-nucleotide unclassified non-coding RNA is filed under the name uncultured Microbotryomycetes. RNAcentral's name for it is "sequence contains ITS1". The stretch from base 1 to 105 matches the Rfam family "5.8S ribosomal RNA", at positions 50 to 154 of the family's 154-position model. The record is from RNAcentral. Lineage: Eukaryota; Fungi; Basidiomycota; Microbotryomycetes.